GGGAAACAGGAAAAGACCGGUGUUGCUCGGGUGCAGAGUGACUCAGGUGCCGGCUGCAUUGCAUUGGGAUCACAUGAAAGCCUGUUGGAAAACAAGUUGCCUGUGGUUUUCUGGGAUGGCAUGAGGGAAAAGGAGCUUGUGCAUGUGCUUGGCUUACCAAGAGAAAGCGGUAUCCAUUACAUGGCAGAGCAAGGCUGGUGCACUUCGCUGGAUAAACUGUGAGUCUUGGAAAGUCCAUCGGAUGCAGCCCCAGAGAGGUGGCUGUGUUUCUGCACUGUAUGAGGUGAUUCCAGAGUAUGAGCAAUAUUUGGAAGAAUUGGGACACAACUUUCUUCUUGAAUGCACACGGGAUGAGUACAGGCAGAGCACCGGGGUGAAAUUUCACUGCCAUGCUUUCCAGAGCACAGUCGUUAUCUGGAAAGAAAAUUACUUGUGUUCCCAGAUGGUCAUUCUGCUAUAUGUAAGAGAUACAUAGAUUCAAAGACACUAAGGCUGGAAGGGACCUUGGAAAAUCACCAAGUCCAGCCCCCUGCUCAAGGGGCAGGAGGUCAGCAGGGGUCACACGAUCCCAGCGAGAUAAACAUCCAAAUGUCACUUGAAGGCAUUCAAAGUAGGUGCUUGAACCACCUCCGGCAGCAGUCUAUUCCAGACCUGGGGGGUUCAGACAGUAAAGAAGUUCUUCCUUGUGUCCAGCCUGAAACAGUCAUGGAGGAGUUUGUGACCAUUCGACUUUGUCAUCCCUUGGGGCGCUCUGGUGAAUAAACGUUCCCCCUUAUGAAGAG
Long non-coding RNA from Alligator mississippiensis (American alligator), 782 nucleotides. RefSeq lists it as uncharacterized. The record is from RefSeq and is a predicted model, not a curated record. NCBI's taxonomy places the organism in Eukaryota, Metazoa, Chordata, Crocodylia, Alligatoridae. The transcript is spliced from 5 exons.